RNAcentral lists this ribosomal RNA (816 nucleotides) under Acinetobacter nosocomialis. RNAcentral's name for it is "bacterial SSU rRNA". It matches the Rfam family "Bacterial small subunit ribosomal RNA", at positions 160 to 970 of the family's 1533-position model. Lineage: Bacteria; Pseudomonadati; Pseudomonadota; Gammaproteobacteria; Moraxellales; Moraxellaceae. The record is from RNAcentral.
AUGCUAAUACCGCAUACGUCCUACGGGAGAAAGCAGGGGAUCUUCGGACCUUGCGCUAAUAGAUGAGCCUAAGUCGGAUUAGCUAGUUGGUGGGGUAAAGGCCUACCAAGGCGACGAUCUGUAGCGGGUCUGAGAGGAUGAUCCGCCACACUGGGACUGAGACACGGCCCAGACUCCUACGGGAGGCAGCAGUGGGGAAUAUUGGACAAUGGGCGCAAGCCUGAUCCAGCCAUGCCGCGUGUGUGAAGAAGGCCUUAUGGUUGUAAAGCACUUUAAGCGAGGAGGAGGCUACUUUAGAUAAUACCUAGAGAUAGUGGACGUUACUCGCAGAAUAAGCACCGGCUAACUCUGUGCCAGCAGCCGCGGUAAUACAGAGGGUGCAAGCGUUAAUCGGAUUUACUGGGCGUAAAGCGCGCGUAGGCGGCUAAUUAAGUCAAAUGUGAAAUCCCCGAGCUUAACUUGGGAAUUGCAUUCGAUACUGGUUAGCUAGAGUGUGGGAGAGGAUGGUAGAAUUCCAGGUGUAGCGGUGAAAUGCGUAGAGAUCUGGAGGAAUACCGAUGGCGAAGGCAGCCAUCUGGCCUAACACUGACGCUGAGGUGCGAAAGCAUGGGGAGCAAACAGGAUUAGAUACCCUGGUAGUCCAUGCCGUAAACGAUGUCUACUAGCCGUUGGGGCCUUUGAGGCUUUAGUGGCGCAGCUAACGCGAUAAGUAGACCGCCUGGGGAGUACGGUCGCAAGACUAAAACUCAAAUGAAUUGACGGGGGCCCGCACAAGCGGUGGAGCAUGUGGUUUAAUUCGAUGCAACGCGAAGAACC